RNAcentral lists this long non-coding RNA (485 nucleotides) under Setaria viridis. Its description in RNAcentral is "long non-coding RNA (SVIR_LNC006297)". Lineage: Eukaryota; Viridiplantae; Streptophyta; Magnoliopsida; Poales; Poaceae. The record is from RNAcentral.
GCGUGGGGGAUUGGUAACACCAACCGGGAGUAAAAGUCACCCUAUGAAGCUCUCGGAGGCUUUAUUCUGGGUUUGUAACACCAACCGGGACUAAAGUAUCAUCCUGGUUGAUGUUACCAUUCGGGACUAAAGGUAUCUCCACAGACAAGCUUUUUAUUGAGGAUCACACCAACCGGGACUAAAGCUUAUUUAGUCCCGGGUGCAAAAACAACCAAGAUUUUUGUGGAGGAUGGAAGGUUAUUUUUCUAGUAGUGAGUUUUAGCUUUGAUGGCAUCUCGCAGCACCAUAAACAACACAUAAACACAAAAGAGGGACAUGUCCACAGUUGAGGCUCGAAGCAUAUCCUGGUUCUGGUUGAGAUUUGUUCAAAGAAAAAUUGCCAAUUGUAUUUGGUUCAAUGUUCACUAUAGGUCAUUUUCAAGUACUACAUGCAGUGACCAUCUUAAUAGGAACCGGUGUGAAAGGCAGUACAGGACCAUGACUCG